CUGACGGAGGCGGUGGCGCAGGGGGAAGAGGGUCUCCUCGGGAGUCCGAGUUUCCACCUGGACGGCACGAGUGGACGGAAAGUCUCAGAUGAAACCAUCGGCCGAGAGACUCUUAUCUUCAGAUCUGGAAGGCUCUCCCCAUUGCGACGAACCCUACAAGUUGAGAGUUAUGAUCAGCGGUGUCUCAUAAAUGUUGAAUAAAUGCCUCUCUGGGAGAAAACCACCCUGGUUUGCAGCAUUGGCCAAUCUCUGUGGUGCAAAUACUCCCACCAUGGUCAAUUUCAAGCUACCAAUAUGACAUCACUGAAUACGGAGUUGAGAUGAGAUGCACAGAAGUGGCUUUUGGGAGGUGCUGGGAGCUGGCUCCAGCAUAACACUGGACUACGAUCACAAUAUAACAAAGAAACAAAGGCUUCUGGAGUUUAGGAUACUUGCCUGUGGAUGGUUAGCUGAGAGAAAGAAAGGGAGAGAGAAAAAGGUUGAGUGGGUGAUGAAUUGUGCAGAUGGGACAGGAAGCUGGGGGUGGGGAGAGAGGCUUGUGAGUCUUACCUCCCUCUCUGAUGACUCCUCGCCUUGGAGUGCGGGGGAUGGGGAGUCAGGUUCAGUGUUGGGGGGUGGCUUUUGUGGGCCCCCCAGACCUGCCAGCGUGUCUUCCACCAUCCAUAGCUGCUGCUGAGCAGAUGCUCUGUCCUGGGAGGAGGAAAGAAAUCUGUUAUUCAAAGGUGGGAAAAUGCCAGGAGGGUUAAAGUUGGGUCUGAAAUCAGUGAGCCUAUAUUUAUGGAGUCCUAAAUGGAUUAUGUACGCAUGGGGAGGUUAUACUUGUGGAUAUCCAUUUCCAUAUGGAUAUCCCAUUGACCCACCACCAUUUACCACAAACAUGGUCUUUUCUAAUCUGCUCUAAAGUGUGACCUGUUAUACAUAGGUGAGCAUAUAAAUAUGUGAAUCUGUUUCUGAAUACCCUAUUCUAUUUCUUUGGUCCAUUUGUCUAAACUACACUGUCUUAUUAACUGUAGCUUUACAGUCAGACUUGACAUUUAUUUGCCUUAGUCCUCCAGCUUUGCUCUUGGAGGUUGCCUUGGCUACUCUUAGUCUUUUGCACUUCCAGACACAAUUUAGAGUCAGCCCGUCAAUCUCUACAUAGAAACCUCCCAGAUUUGUAUUGGGAUUCUAAAUCAAUUUGGGGAGACUACAUCUUUACUUUAUGUAUCUUUUCUAUCCACGAACAUGGUAUAUCUCUCCAUUUAUUUAGGUCUUCUUUAAGUUCUCUCAAUGAUGUUUUGUGGCUUUCAGAAUAGAUGUCUUGUAUAUAUUUCAUUAGAUUUCUUCUUGGAUAUUUAAUUUGUUUAUGUCAAUUACAAACACUAUUGCUUACAAAUAUUUAUUCUCUAUUCAUUUGGUACUAACAUACAAGAAGAUAAUUGAUUUUUGCAUAUUAUCCUUGCAUUCAGUGACCUUGAUGAAUUUGUUUAUUCUAAUAGCUUAUCUGGAGAUUAUUUUGAAUUUUCUACAUUUAUACAAUCAUGUGUCAUCUGUAAAUAAAAAACAGAUUUACUUCUCUGGUCCUUACACCUUUAUUUCCUAGACUUGUACUGUCUAGGACCCCUGGUACAAUGUUAACUAGAACUGGUAAUAGCAGACACUCUCAUCUUAUUCCAGCUAUCAGGCAGAAAAUUCUCAAUAUUUCACUGCCAAUUAUGUUUGCUGUAGGUUUGUUAUAGAUGUGUUAUCAGAUUAAGGAAGUUCCCUUCUAUUCCUAUUUUGCUGGGAGCCUUUAUCAUUAAUGGAUAUUAAAUUUAGUCAAAUGUUUUUCCGGCAUUUAUUGAGAUGAUCAUGUGCCUUUUCUCCUUUUUAAAAAAAU
Non-coding RNA from Leptonychotes weddellii (Weddell seal), 1858 nucleotides. The record is from RefSeq and is a predicted model, not a curated record. NCBI's taxonomy places the organism in Eukaryota, Metazoa, Chordata, Mammalia, Carnivora, Phocidae.